Molecule: ribosomal RNA, 500 nt
Filed under: uncultured bacterium
Lineage: Bacteria
Description: partial 16S ribosomal RNA
Rfam family: Bacterial small subunit ribosomal RNA
Source: RNAcentral
AUUGAACGCUGGCGGCAGGCUUAACACAUGCAAGUCGAGCGGGGGGAGGUAGCUUGCUACCGGACCUAGCGGCGGACGGGUGAGUAAUGCUUAGGAAUCUGCCUAUUAGUGGGGGACAACAUCUCGAAAGGGAUGCUAAUACCGCAUACGUCCUACGGGAGAAAGCAGGGGAUCUUCGGACCUUGCGCUAAUAGAUGAGCCUAAGUCGGAUUAGCUAGUUGGUGGGGUAAAGGCCUACCAAGGCGACGAUCUGUAGCGGGUCUGAGAGGAUGAUCCGCCACACUGGGACGGAGACACGGCCCAGACUCCUACGGGAGGCAGCAGUGGGGAAUAUUGGACAAUGGGGGGAACCCUGAUCCAGCCAUGCCGCGUGUGUGAAGAAGGCCUUAUGGUUGUAUAGCACUUUAAGCGAGGAGGAGGCUACUUUAGUUAAUACCUAGAGAUAGUGGACGUUACUCGCAGAAUAAGCACCGGCUACUCUGUGCCAGCCGCCGCGGUAA